RNAcentral lists this ribosomal RNA (433 nucleotides) under uncultured bacterium. RNAcentral's name for it is "partial 16S ribosomal RNA". It matches the Rfam family "Bacterial small subunit ribosomal RNA", at positions 29 to 507 of the family's 1533-position model. The record is from RNAcentral.
AACGAACGCUGGCGGCAUGCCUAACACAUGCAAGUCGAACGAGACCUUCGGGGCUAGUGGCGCACGGGUGCGUAACGCGUGGGAACCUGCCCUUAGGUUCGGAAUAACUCCCCGAAAGGGGUGCUAAUACCGGAUAAUGUCUUCGGACCAAAGAUUUAUCGCCUUUGGAUGGGCCCGCGUUGGAUUAGCUAGUUGGUAGGGUAAAAGCCUACCAAGGCGACGAUCCAUAGCUGGUCUGAGAGGAUGAUCAGCCACACUGGGACUGAGACACGGCCCAGACUCCUACGGGAGGCAGCAGUGGGGAAUAUUGGACAAUGGGCGAAAGCCUGAUCCAGCAAUGCCGCGUGAGUGAUGCAGGCCUUAGGGUCGUAAAGCUCUUUUACCCGGGAUGAUAAUGACAGUACCGGGAGAAUAAGCGCCGGCUAACUCCGUG